UACGUAGGGUGCAAGCGUUGUCCGGAAUUAUUGGGCGUAAAGAGCUCGUAGGCGGUUUGUCGCGUCUGCUGUGAAAACCCGAGGCUCAACCUCGGGCCGCAGUGGGUACGGGCAGACUAGAGUGCGGUAGGGGAGAUUGGAAUUCCUGGUGUAGAGGUGAAAUUCGUAGAUAUCAGGAGGAACACCAGUGGCGAAGGCGGCUCACUGGUCCGGUACUGACGCUGAGGUGCGAAAGCGUGGGGAGCAAACAGG
RNAcentral lists this ribosomal RNA (252 nucleotides) under uncultured bacterium. Its description in RNAcentral is "partial 16S ribosomal RNA". It matches the Rfam family "Bacterial small subunit ribosomal RNA", at positions 524 to 776 of the family's 1533-position model. The record is from RNAcentral.